CUGGGAACAAGAAGUUAAAUCAUUAAUCCCAUUGGAUGGAUGAUUUGGAUCUCAAACUGAUUUAUUAUAGGUUCCAGAUCCAGCACGGACCCCAAUGUGGGGCUCAAACCCACGACCCUGAGAUUAAGACCUGAACUGAGAUCAAGAGUUGGAUGCUCCACUGACUGGGCUACCCAGGU
Molecule: long non-coding RNA, 179 nt
Filed under: Mustela putorius furo (domestic ferret)
Lineage: Eukaryota; Metazoa; Chordata; Mammalia; Carnivora; Mustelidae
Description: lncRNA (ENSMPUG00000024149.1)
Source: RNAcentral